GCUAGGGAGUCAGCAACCACCAUAAUGGGAUUCCCACACACCCAAGUGUGUCUAAGUCUACAUCCCAUGCUUUCGACCAUAAUGCCUCCUCCCUCUCACUGCUUCCCCUCAAGCACCCUUGAGAUAUUUCUUUUCUUUUUUUAGGCAGGGUCUUACUCUGUCACCCAGGCUGGAGUGCAGUGGCGCAAUCAUAGCUCACCACUGCUUUGACCUGCUGGGCUCAAGCCAUCCUCCCACCUCAGUCUCCCAAGUAGCUGGGACCACAGGCAUGUGCCACCACACCUGGCUAAUUUUUGUACUUUUUUCGUAUAGAUGUGGUUGUGCUAUGUGCCCUGACUGGUCUUGAGUUCCUGAGCUCAAGCAAUCCUUCCUCCUUGGCCUCCCAAAGUGCUGGGAUUACAGGCAUGAUUACAGACAAGCCACCAUGCUCGGUACUUGAGAUAUCUGAGCCUUCCGGAUUUCUGAGUUGUUGAUAAACACCGCACAGGAGACGUGAGGACAGAACCCUUCAGUGGAGACCUGUUUGGAUAUUGCAGGGGCUUUCUGUGCCCUGCCUGUGUGUGAUUUCAGCGCUGUGGUGGAAGAACAUGCUGAUCUCCAUUUGAAGAGGCUUCUAAACACCAGAAGGGACACAGCUUGCUGGGGGAAGGUCUGUGGGCCAGAGAUGUAUUUUGUUUUAAGAGAAAAGUCAGAAAGACAAGGAAAUCAAGAUUCUACCUCCCAACCAUCCAGGACUAAGGUCUCUUCCAAAGAUCACCCAAGUGGGCAUAUAUGACUCAAGGAACAAGAGGCAAAGCAUUCAGGAUGCCUUUAGAAGCCUUAGAUCUAAGAACCGUCUAAGACUGGGAAAGACUUGGGAUAGAAAAGACCCAGAAAAUCUGGGAGACACCCGGAAGACAUCUAGACCAAGGGUCUGCAAACUAUGACCUGACAACCAAAGCUGGCCUACUGCCUGUUUUUACAAAUAAAGUGUUACAGGAACACAGCCAUGCCCAU
RNAcentral lists this long non-coding RNA (996 nucleotides) under Rhinopithecus bieti (black snub-nosed monkey). Its description in RNAcentral is "lncRNA (ENSRBIG00000045149.1)". Lineage: Eukaryota; Metazoa; Chordata; Mammalia; Primates; Cercopithecidae. The record is from RNAcentral.